UAGGGCAGUAUAUGACGCUUACCAAUAAAGAGCUUGGCUUUUGCAAUAUGUAUGAGCUAAUUAUCCUGUACACGAUAAAAGACAAUUGAGCUAUCCAUUAAAGCUGAAGCAUACUUAACACUCAUAUUGAGCGUUUGUGUCUUCCCUCCGUCGACAACACACCCACCUCCAGCCCUUGGCCUGGGGCUGUAUUUAAGCUCCCAGCUCUGCUCCUUGCCCUGGCUGGGUUGUGCUUUGUGGUUGCUUUUAGAGCUGCCUCAUUGUGAGGGAUGUUCCUGGGGACUGUCACCAUCCUAGAACCAGCCCUGCUUGGCUCCUGCCUUCCUGCAGCUGCUCCUUGGCGUUUUAUCCCCAGGUAGGUCAGGCCGGAUUUUGUAACAUCUGAUUUUUGUUUGAUACCUUUUAAUGGAGCGACUGCUCGUGGUGCCCCUGCUCCCUGGAAGGAGGAAGCUGCCCAAGCAGGGAAAAGCUUUGGCUCAGGUUUCUUCCCCUUAUUUUCCUGCUGCUGUUCCCAGCCUGAGGAUGAAGGGGUUAGCUGCUCAUUCCCAUCCAUCGCUAAAAAUCCUAAAUCAGGAGCUGAUCUUCAGGGCUCAGAGAGAGAUUGUGCCUCCUGACUCUAGCUGCUGGCAGCGUUUUAAAGCACCAGAGGCUGCAGGGACACACUCAGCAACAUGGCUGCUGCUGGGGGCUGGGGCGCACCAUGGGGAGAGAGCUGAAGAAGCACAGAACGUGACAAUAAAGAUGAGGAACAGAGGUAUAGAGCAAUUGGGGGAAGAUCCUACAGCCCUUUUGGAGACUUCUCUUCAGCAUCAAGAGUAAAAAUGGAAAAAUGUCUGCUCGCCUGUCCUCCCAGCUCCUUUCCUUCCCGCAGCAAAGAAGCUGAGGGCUUUUCCUCCUUGGAGCCUCAAGCACCAAAAGAAGUGCAAAACAGAAUGAAUCACACAAUCGUUAGGGUUGGAAAAGACCUCCGAGGUCAUUUGGUCCAACCAGCCCCUGCCAAUAGCAGGUCCCUCUCACCUGCCUCUCCCCCCCUCUUCAGGAGGUGUUUUUGGAGGCUCCUCCUCCUGCCCUAACAGUUCAGUCCCAGAAAAAUUACAUCCCCUAACGACGGUGCCUGUGAAAUGCUAUGCUUAAUAAAAUGUGUUGCACAUCAAUAAUUUAGCUGCUU
Molecule: long non-coding RNA, 1168 nt
Filed under: Anser brachyrhynchus (Pink-footed goose)
Lineage: Eukaryota; Metazoa; Chordata; Aves; Anseriformes; Anatidae
Description: lncRNA (ENSABRG00000012279.1)
Source: RNAcentral